Long non-coding RNA from Gasterosteus aculeatus aculeatus (three-spined stickleback), 3236 nucleotides. The record is from Ensembl. Lineage: Eukaryota; Metazoa; Chordata; Actinopteri; Perciformes; Gasterosteidae.
ACAAAAUCUCCCCUUAACGGCAAGGAGCGCAUGCGCUUGGUCUUUUCCUCUUCUCGCCAUCCUAAGAUGGUCCUGCAGCUGCUCGCCUGUUGGUUGAGAAUCUGUCUCCCUUCCAAACAUUCCUCUUUCCUGCAUCUGUGCAACCCACUUCACAUAUUUUUGUUACACAUUUCCUAUCUUUUUCUAGGGUUUUAUCCAUAUGUCUCUUAUAAGUCUUAAAUAGGGCGAAACCCAGAGUGCCUUCUUUACACCUCUCCCAUAUCGUUAUGGUUUCCUCCAUUUUCAUCACAGGUUAUUUAUUUAUUCACACGUGGUUUUUGAACACAAGAGAAAGGACUCAAUGCCCAAUACUGUGAACCCAAUCAAGAACCUUCUACUUUAUUAGAGGAAUACAGCGCUCGAUUGUUGAGGCUUAUAACACCAGUUCACUCGUAUUGUUUUAUUUCUCUCGUAUUUAUACCACCAUCAUUUAACUAUGAUUUUCCCUUUUACCCUUUAAUACAUAUCCCCACAGAUGUGUAAUCCGGUCAAACACUUUUCACUGUCGGAUUCUCAGUCCUUUUUCAAGUCCUGAUACGCCCAGCUUCCAGGUUCGGUAAAACACCAGGAGUUACACCAACCACCCACACAUUUCCCAGUAUGAAAAACAACAAAUCUUUCCCUGUGUCCUUAUUUCUUCAUCUAAUAUUCUAACCUGCCAGUCCAAGAAUCACACGAGUAGGACUGCAGGACCAGAGGUUUCUACGUACCACUCGGAUUGCAACUUGGAUUUCUACAGACUAAGAUUAACAUAAAUCCCUGCUCUAUUCUAAACUGCCAGCCCACUGCAUGCAAACGUGGGACCCCAGUCACCAGAGGUAUCUACGUACCACACGGAUUGUAACUUGGAUUUCUACAGACUAAGAGUCGACCUCAGGGAACUCAAGUGAGCCCCGUCAUUCCUUUUUAAACUCUUCAUAUAUUUACCUAAGUCCCUAAACCUAAACCCCUACACUGUUCUAAACUGCCAGUCCACUGCAUGCAAACGUGGGACUGCAGUUACCAGAGGUAUCUACGUACCACACGGAUUGUAACUUGGAUUUCUACAGACUAAGAGUCGACCUCAGGGAACUCAAGUGAGCCCCGUCAUUCCUUUUUAAACUCUUCAUAUAUUUACCUAAGUCCCUAAACCUAAACCCCUACACUGUUCUAAACUGCCAGUCCACUGCAUGCAAACGUGGGACUGCAGUUACCAGAGGUAUCUACGUACCACACGGAUUGUAACUUGGAUUUCUACAGACUAAGGGUCGACCUCAGGGAACUCAAGUGAGCCCCGUCAUUCCUUUUUAAACUCUUCAUAUAUUUACCUAAGUCCCUAAACCUAAACCCCUACACUGUUCUAAACUGCCAGUCCACUGCAUGCAAACGUGGGACUGCAGUUACCAGAGGUAUCUACGUACCACACGGAUUGCAACUUGGAUUUCUACAAACUAAGAGUCGACCUCAGGGAACUCAAGUGAGCCCCGUCAUUCCUUUUUAAACUCUUCAUGUAUUUACCUAAGUCCCUAAACCUAAAUCCCUACACUAUUCUAAACUGCCAGUCCACUGCAUGCAAACGUGGGACUGCAGUUACCAGAGGUAUCUACGUACCACACGGAUUGCAACUUGGAUUUCUACCGACUAAGAUUAUAUAUAUUUUUACCUAAAUCCCUAAACCUAUGGACACUUAUUCACUUUCCCUAACGUUGAAUUCAGUGUGAGUAUGUGCUUAUACUUUACAUGUGAUCAACAGGAAAUUUUCAAAUUUAGUUUUAAAUUUAAUGGUCUUAUAACGACCUUAUUCAGUCAAUGGACAGAGACGAAUUUUGCAGUUGACAACAAAUCUUUUUAGAAGUAUCCAAUCACAGACAUUUUAUUCAUUUAGAACAAAAGGUUGUCUGCUCACCUGAUUCUGUUUGCGCGCCUGUUGUCAAUGCUGAACCACGCCGCCGGCCCUUUUGGCUCGGUCCGGAAAACGGACGUCCCCGUCUUUCUUUGUCCAGGUCAGCAAAUCACGUCGGGGUCACCAAAUUGUAAGAAUACGUGUUCAAGAUUUGGAGCCUGGUCGGGGUUAUCAAAAAUUCAGCCGAAUGACUUCUCUCGUUCUGGGAAAUUUAUUUGUCAGAUCACAGGUCAAGUAUCAGCGCUGCGUUUGCAAAGGCAGGAGCAGUUCAGGCAGCACACAGGCCGGAAGAACAACUAACUAACAUCAGCAAGAACAUCAUGUUUUAUAACCCUUGAAAGACAGAGAAGGAAAUAUUUCUAUUGGCCCUAAACUGGCGUAGAGGAGGACCUUCCACCUCCCGCAUCUAAGAUCCGGUCACAUCCAAUGUCCAGACUCCUGACUUAACGUAAACAUCGUAAACAGAGUGUGUAUGUUGAAUAGUGUUGGUGUGUCUCUAACCCCCCUUUGACUGGUAAAUCUUCUAGUUGACCCGCAGACCUUACAUUCCUCAGCCAGGACAUAAACUGACUCCCCAUCCUGUCAGACUCGUGUCUGCCUGCUUGGCAGAUCCUGCUUACCCCUUACCUAACUCUUAAAUCAAGACAAGACAGCAAAACCCCCAACUAAGCCCAUGAAAAUAACUUUUGAUUAUCAAUACACACACUUCAUAUUUAUAAUAUCAUAUAAAAAAUAUAGGACUUAUGUAACAAAGUAUCAUACUUUAUAGUUCUAAUUCCAUAUAACAUUAACAUAAUUUAAGCAAACAUGGAAUCAUAAUUAGUAUUUCUAAUAUCAUAGGAUAUAAUAUCAUGUUCAGUGUUUUCCCUACCCUCACAUCUCCCGGCGCGCCCCAACGCACACGCCUCCCUCCGGUACGUCCGCCCCCCCAUAGUUGUGAACCUGGGAGAAACACUAAUGUGACGCAAUAUAGUAGAACUAAUAUAGAACUAAUGUGAAUGAUUCAAAAUCUAUAAUUAUAUAUAUAAUUAUACAUUUUAAAUAAUUUACAUUUGCCUGAGCAUCUCUCUUUCCCAUUUAAAACUGUCUGAUAUUUAUUGUAUAUGUUAGUAAAACAACAGGUCCUUGCUCUGACUACUUUGGUAGUUAGGCCCAAAACAGCCUCUUCCAUAAUAGCUGUUUACCAGAAAAUUCCAAGGGGAAACAUAAACCACCGAUAAUUUUUCUAAUAUAUUUAAUUCUCGCUCACUACAUGAGCGGGAUCAAUCCCAUUAGCUGGGGGGGAGCCUUUUACUUCUUGGUGAUUCCGCAUUAA